AUUGAACGCUGGCGGCGUGCCUAACACAUGCAAGUCGAGCGGUAACAGGUGUAGCAAUACAUGCUGACGAGCGGCGGACGGGUGAGUAACGCUUGGGAAUCUGCCUGUUAGUGGGGGACAACCCGGGGAAACUCGGGCUAAUACCGCAUACGCACUACGGUGGAAAGCCGGGGACCGCAAGGCCUGGCGCUAACAGAUGAGCCCAAGUCGGAUUAGCUAGUUGGUAGGGUAACACGCCUACCAGGGCGACGAUCCGUAACUGGUCUGAGAGGACGACCAGUCACACCGGAACU
RNAcentral lists this ribosomal RNA (293 nucleotides) under uncultured bacterium. RNAcentral's name for it is "partial 16S ribosomal RNA". It matches the Rfam family "Bacterial small subunit ribosomal RNA", at positions 30 to 320 of the family's 1533-position model. The record is from RNAcentral.